AAAGACAGGAGCUGAUGCA
This 19-nucleotide unclassified non-coding RNA is filed under the name Mus musculus (house mouse). RNAcentral's name for it is "oocyte_clustered_small_RNA11676". Lineage: Eukaryota; Metazoa; Chordata; Mammalia; Rodentia; Muridae. The record is from RNAcentral.